Molecule: long non-coding RNA, 734 nt
Organism: Lotus japonicus
Lineage: Eukaryota; Viridiplantae; Streptophyta; Magnoliopsida; Fabales; Fabaceae
Exons: 3
Source: RefSeq, a predicted model, not a curated record
CACUCCCUCAUUUGUGAGAAACCCCAAAUCCUUCUGAGAUCCCGCACCCAACUCUCCCUCAUUCGAGGCGUAAAUCUGCUGCUGUUAUGAAUUGCAGCAAAUUUCAGCAUGCUUAACCCACACCACCGCUCCUUCUCUCUCCCUCAAAUCACCAUCAUCACAGCCCCAAACCAGCGAACCGACCUCCAUCUCAUACGCUCUUGAAGCUUGCGUCGUCGCUCGAUCUCUGCUUCGCCGUCACCGAGCACUGUCCCUGCGUACUUUUACCAGUUCUGGCACACCGCCACCACACUCUAUUCCAGAUCGCACCUCCUCCGCUUCCUGCAACCGCGCGCCGUCACCAUCCCCUAGCGCCGCUGCCAUCUAGUUUUGUACCCAGACGGACUUUCGGUGGCAUCGAUCUUUUGAUUGUUAUGUGGGCAGAUGGCCGGACCAUUGAACUGUGCAGCCAGAGAAAAUAUUUUUGCUUACCGUCAUCAGACCGGUUAUGGUUAAAUAGCGUGGAGAAGAUGCCUGUGCCAUCAACGUUGAACAGGAGCUGAAGGGAAAUUUUUCUAUACCAUGAUAUAAAGUGUUUUGUGGAUAAUCUGAUGUCAAUACUCAACUUGUGGGAGUCAAUUUAUACACUUCACAUCUUGUUUAUUUCUCUUUCCCAUUCAAGCUAUGUUCUCAUUUUAAUUUCAUUCAAAUCUAAUAUCUAUGCAAGGUGUUUUUAUUUAUCCAUCUUUCAUUGA